RNAcentral lists this ribosomal RNA (478 nucleotides) under Acidimicrobiia bacterium. Its description in RNAcentral is "bacterial SSU rRNA". It matches the Rfam family "Bacterial small subunit ribosomal RNA", at positions 427 to 919 of the family's 1533-position model. Lineage: Bacteria; Bacillati; Actinomycetota; Acidimicrobiia. The record is from RNAcentral.
AAACCGCUUUCAGCAGGGACGAUAAUGACGGUACCUGCAGAAGAAGCCCAGGCCAACUACGUGCCAGCAGCCGCGGUAAUACGUAGGGGGCAAGCGUUGUCCGGAUUUAUUGGGCGUAAAGAGCUCGUAGGCGGUUUGGUAAGUCUGGUGUGAAAUCUCCACGCUCAACGUGGAGGGGCCACCCGAUACUGCCAUGACUGGAGUCCGGUAGAGGAGUGUGGAAUUCCCGGUGUAGCGGUGAAAUGCGCAGAUAUCGGGAGGAACACCCGUAGCGAAGGCGGCACUCUGGGCCGGUACUGACGCUGAGGAGCGAAAGCGUGGGGAGCAAACAGGAUUAGAUACCCUGGUAGUCCACGCCGUAAACGUUGGGCACUAGGUGUGGGGCUCUAUCGACGGGUUCCGUGCCGAAGCUAACGCAUUAAGUGCCCCGCCUGGGGAGUACGGCCGCAAGGCUAAAACUCAAAGGAAUUGACGGGGG